GGGGGGUUAGCCAAGUGGCCUACGGCAUCGCGCUUUGACCGCGACAUUCGGACGUUCGAAUCGUCCACCCUCUGCCA
Molecule: transfer RNA, 77 nt
Filed under: Rhodoferax sp.
Lineage: Bacteria; Pseudomonadati; Pseudomonadota; Betaproteobacteria; Burkholderiales; Comamonadaceae
Also listed under: 1 other name
Description: tRNA-Gln
Rfam family: tRNA
About the family: Transfer RNA (tRNA) molecules are approximately 80 nucleotides in length. Their secondary structure includes four short double-helical elements and three loops (D, anti-codon, and T loops).
Source: RNAcentral